UAAAGCCGAUCAAUCACGUCU
Molecule: unclassified non-coding RNA, 21 nt
Filed under: Mus musculus (house mouse)
Lineage: Eukaryota; Metazoa; Chordata; Mammalia; Rodentia; Muridae
Description: oocyte_clustered_small_RNA11014
Source: RNAcentral